CCUACGGGGGGCAGCAGUGGGGAAUAUUGCGCAAUGGGCGAAAGCCUGACGCAGCGACGCCGCGUGAGGGAUGAAGGUCCUCGGAUCGUAAACCUCUGUCAGCAGGGAAGCACGGUCACUGUGCUAAUCAGCAGUGAAUUGACGGUACCUGCAAAGGAAGCACCGGCUAACUCCGUGCCAGCAGCCGCGGUCAUACGGAGGGUGCGUGCGUUAAUCGGAAUUACUGGGCGUAAAGCGCUCGUAGGCGGUAUGUCAAGUCAAGGGGGAAAUCCCCGCGCUCAACGUGGGAACUGCCUUUGAAACUGGCAAACUGGAGUGUGUGAGAGGAUAGUGGAAUUCGAGGUGUAGGAGUGAAAUCCGUAGAUAUCUGGAGGAACAUCAGUGGCGAAGGCGACUAUCUGGCACAUAACUGACGCUGAGGAGCGAAAGCGUGGGUAGCAAACAGGAUUAGAUACCCUGGUAGUC
Molecule: ribosomal RNA, 465 nt
Filed under: uncultured bacterium
Lineage: Bacteria
Description: partial 16S ribosomal RNA
Rfam family: Bacterial small subunit ribosomal RNA
Source: RNAcentral